Molecule: non-coding RNA, 2774 nt
Organism: Rattus norvegicus (Norway rat)
Lineage: Eukaryota; Metazoa; Chordata; Mammalia; Rodentia; Muridae
Source: RefSeq, a predicted model, not a curated record
CCGGUGACAGGACAGUGGGCUCUGACCCCAGCUCUGCACCCGGUAACAGGACAGUGGGCUCUGACCCCAGCUCUGCACCCGGUGACAGGACAGUGGGCUCUGACCCCAGCUCUGCACCCGGUGACAGGACAGUGGGCUCUGACCCCAGCUCUGCACCCGGUGACAGGACAGUGGGCUCUGACCCCAGCUCUGCAACUGGACCAAGCUAUGUGACCUUGGACUGGUCAUCAGGCAGCAAAACAUAAUGGAAGAAACAGGACUUUUAGAGGCAGAGGUGUUCACUCCCACCAGGAUGAAUAAAAGCAAAGAGUCUUAGCACAUGGAAUCUGUGCUUGGCUAUGGGACCAGCCAUGACAGUGAAUAUAAUCUUCUUUCUUUGCAGAGCAAGCAUAUACAUCCUUCCUGAUGUAUGUAGCAGGUGGCUGUUUGGUCCUAAGACUUUUGGUGAAUUGCCAGGGAUUUUAUAGACAGUAGAACUUUUCGGGAGAGCUACACUAAGUAACAACUGGCUCCAGAGAGAUGAGUCUGCACUUAGCUGAAGUCCAUGGCCUGGGUUCAAUUCUACUUGGAGAAUAACAUUAAUUUUUUUUUAAUUUUUAAGUUAUGUGUAUAUGUCUAUGUCUGAGUAUGGGUUUGUACACAUGAGAAUAGAUGACGUCUGCAGAGGCCAGAACAGGACAUUGAAUCACCUGGGACUGGAGUCACAGGCAACUGUGAAACACCUGAUGUGAGUGCUAGGACUCCAACUCGGGUCCUCUGUAAGGACUUAACCACCAACUGCCUCUCCAGUCCUCCUAGGUGGCCACUGUGGUGGAUGCUAAUUGACUACCAAGUGCUCUGUUUCCAUAGUUAGAAGUACUGUGGGAAACAAACUAGCCAGACACCAAAAUACUCCAAGUUCUCUCCAGCUAGGUACAAAAGACUUGAUCUGGCUAAAAACAUAAAAGAAGGCCUGGGGGCUGUGUCAUUUCUCAGCUGGAGAUGAAUCUCAGCUGUGCCUUCCUCUCCAGCAACUUUGGAAACCACAUGAUACCUAUGAGGACACUGUGGUGACAUAGAAGGAAUCUGGACCCUGAGCCACUGCUGGAAGAGAACAGCUCAGGAUGUUAUUUUAAAUCUUUCACGUACAAGAAAUACAGUUUUGUGUCAACCCUAUCAAACUGUGUGGUGCUGUCACAACAAUGUAUCUAAAAACCUUGGAUGGACCUUAAAGCACAAGUUCUGCUAUUGGAAGGUCAUCCCUGGGAAUCGAGUCCAUUGAUCAAUCUUUAUGGGACACUAGACCUUCAUUUUAGCUUUCCUGAUACAAUGUUGCGGCGGCAGAGUCUUGUGAGGUUCCCGUGCUAAACAAGUUGGGCUGAGUACUUUGCUGUGUAACUUCAGAACAGAGCUUGCUUUCGGUUUCUAUUGAGAGUUUAACGUCUGCUCAGGGUAGGGAUUUGUUCUGCUGGGGAAGUGUGGGCCCCAGACCAUGGUUGUCCUGCCCAUUGUAGAUGAUGGACAACUCUUUGGACACUUUAAAUCGGUAAAAGAGCCUAAGUUUAAAAACUGAAAUGAGGGACUGGAGAGAUGGCUCAUCAGAUGAGAAUGCUUACUGUUCUUCCCAAAAACCCAGAGCUUGGGUUCCAGCGUCUCCAGUGGCCAACAACUGCCUGUAACACCAGCUCCAGGAUGCCCUCAACUCUGUGGAUACACAUACAUACAUACAUACAUACAUACAUACAUACAUACAUACACACAUACAUACAUACACACACACACCAAGAACCCAGAAAAGAUCUGUGACCAUUUCCUUUUUUAAAAAUGGUUGCCUAGCCUUGAUAUUUCACAUCUAUCUUUUCAGUAUUUCGUGAAAGAACCACUAACAUCCCAUUACACCAGGAAGCAAAUGCAUUAAGGAGAAUAUAAUUUCACACAGUAAUAAACUCCAUGAAGAAAUGGGAACAAGGUGAUGUGAUGGAGGGCGGCCUGGGGGAAGAAGAGCAAAUCUAUAACAUGUCAGUGAAGUCAUCUAUCUCCCAUCCCGCACCUGGGCAGGGAGCUGUUUCCACAGGAACAGAGAGGAUGAAGCAUUCUGGGGAGCUGGAAAGGGAAGAACAGAAUUCUGGGUAAAAACAGCUUAGGAUGAACUGGACUGAAUCAGCGCUAAGAGGCUGUUGAGAGGUGGCCUUGCAGUGAUCAAUCAAUCAGGUGGGGCUGGGGGCGUGGCUACAGUUUGGUCUGUUAUCCUAUUUGCAAGGCAAGUCUCUUGUGGGAAUGAAGCCCGGACUUACCAGAUAUGAUUUAUAUAUUAUUUCUUUCCUCUUUUAUGUAUCAGACAGGUAAUGUCCUGACAUUUUAACACAGUUUGGGAGAAGCCUAUCCCUCACAGUGACAUGAGAACUCACAUUUAUGAAUCACAAAAAGUAUCUCAGUUUAUAUUUCAAAGGGAACAAUGACAUGAAAGCAUGGGAAGAGAGAUGUCACAGAAUAAAGGACGCCGAGGGACAGAACCGAGCACGACGGCCCAUCUCAUUACAUCCUUAUAAAACCUCUUUAGAACAAACUCAGGAAAUCCGAAUAGAGAAAAAAAGAAGGCCCCACACAGACACGAGCAGUCACCGUAUGAUGAAGAAGUAUCUAUAUGGACGCAGACAACUUUUAAAUUCUGCCUCCCUGGUUUUGCAACUUUGCUGGAUGCUGGGGGUACAGCCAAGGUUAAACUUAACAUUUGCCUCACAAACUGAAGACAAAAAGUUGCAGAAUCUCACAGAAUAAAAGAGGAAUGGACCUAA